Molecule: ribosomal RNA, 812 nt
Filed under: uncultured bacterium
Lineage: Bacteria
Description: bacterial SSU rRNA
Rfam family: Bacterial small subunit ribosomal RNA
Source: RNAcentral
UAGAUAUUCGGAAGAACACCAGUGGCGAAGGAGACUGCCUGGACAAGUAUUGACGUUGAGGUGCGAAAGCGUGGGGAGCAAACAGGAUCAGAUACCCUGGUAGUGCACGCCGUAAUCGAUGAUAACUAGCUGUCCGGGCAUUUGGUGCUUGGGUGGCGCAGCUAACGCAUUAAGUUAUCCGCAUGGGGAGUAUGGUAGCAAGAUUAAAAUUCAAAGGAAUUGACGGGGGCCUGCACAAGCGGUGGAGCAUGUGGUAUAAUUCGAAGCAACGCGCAGAACCUUACCAGCCUUUGACAUCCCGCGCUACCUAGAGAGAUCUAGGGUUCCCUUCGGGGACGCGGUGACAGGUGCUGCAUGGCUGUGGUCAGCUCGUGUCGUGAGAUGCUGGGUUAAGUCCCGCAAUGAGCGCAACCGUCGUCUUUAGUCGCCAUCAUUCAGUUGGGCACUCUAAGGAAACCGCCGGUGAUAAGCCGGAGGAAGGUGGGGAUGACGUCAAGUCCUCAUGGCCGUUUCAGGCUGGGGUACACACGUGAUACAAUGGCGGUGUCAGUUGGCAGCAAACUCGCGUGAUUGAGCUAAUAUCCAAAAGCCGUAUCAGUUAGGAAUUUUUUCUGCAACUCGAGAGCAUGAAGGAGGAAUCUCUAGUAAUCGAGGAUUAGCAGUGCCGCGGCGAAUAUGUUCCCAGGCUUUGUACACGCCGCCCGUCACACCAUGGGAGUUGGUUUCAUCUGAAGGCAGUGCGGUAAGCCGCAAGGGAGGCAGAUGACCUCGGUGGGAUCAGAGAGUGGGGUGAAGUCGUAACAAGGUAUCCA